UGGAGAGUUUGAUCCUGGCUCAGGAUGAACGCUAGCGGCAGGCCUAAUACAUGCAAGUCGAACGAGAUUGAGGAGCUUGCUCCUCAUGAAAGUGGCGCACGGGUGCGUAACGCGUAUGCAACCUACCUGUAACAAGGGGAUAGCCCGGAGAAAUCCGGAUUAAUACCGUAUAAAAUCACAGUAUCGCAUGGUACAAUGAUUAAACAUUUAUGGGUUACAGAUGGGCAUGCGUGACAUUAGCUGGUUGGUGAGGUAACGGCUCACCAAGGCGACGAUGUCUAGGGGCUCUGAGAGGAGAAUCCCCCACACUGGUACUGAGACACGGACCAGACUCCUACGGGAGGCAGCAGUAAGGAAUAUUGGUCAAUGGGCGCAAGCCUGAACCAGCCAUGCCGCGUGCAGGAAGACGGCCCUACGGGUUGUAAACUGCUUUUGUACCGGAAUAAACCUCUUUACGAGUAAAGAGUUGAAUGUACGGUAAGAAUAAGGAUCGGCUAACUCCGUGCCAGCAGCCGCGGUAAUACGGAGGAUCCAAGCGUUAUCCGGAUUUAUUGGGUUUAAAGGGUGCGUAGGCGGCUACUUAAGUCAGGGGUGAAAGACGGCAGCUCAACUGUCGCAGUGCCUUUGAUACUGAGUAGCUUGAUUACAGCUGAGGUAGGCGGAAUGAGACAAGUAGCGGUGAAAUGCAUAGAUAUGUCUCAGAACACCGAUUGCGAAGGCAGCUUACUAAAGUGUAAAUGACGCUGAGGCACGAAAGCGUGGGGAUCAAACAGGAUUAGAUACCCUGGUAGUCCACGCCCUAAACGAUGAAUACUCGAUGUUAGCGAUAUACAGUUAGCGUCCAAGCGAAAGCGUUAAGUAUUCCACCUGGGGAGUACGCCCGCAAGGGUGAAACUCAAAGGAAUUGACGGGGGCCCGCACAAGCGGAGGAGCAUGUGGUUUAAUUCGAUGAUACGCGAGGAACCUUACCCGGGCUUGAAAGUUAGUGAAUGAACCAGAGAUGGUUCAGUGAUUUAUCACACGAAACUAGGUGCUGCAUGGCUGUCGUCAGCUCGUGCCGUGAGGUGUUGGGUUAAGUCCCGCAACGAGCGCAACCCCUAUGUUUAGUUGCCAGCAUGUCAAGGUGGGGACUCUAAACAGACUGCCUGUGCAAACAGCGAGGAAGGUGGGGACGACGUCAAGUCAUCAUGGCCCUUACGUCCGGGGCUACACACGUGCUACAAUGGGCAGUACAGAGGGCAGCGACAUAGUAAUAUGAAGCCAAUCUCAAAAAGCUGUUCACAGUUCGGAUUGAGGUCUGCAACUCGACCUCAUGAAGUUGGAUUCGCUAGUAAUCGCAGAUCAGCAAUGCUGCGGUGAAUACGUUCCCGGGCCUUGUACACACCGCCCGUCAAGCCAUGGAAGCUGGGGGUACCUGAAGUAUGUAACCGCAAGGAGCGUCCUAGGGUAAAACCGGUAACUGGGGCUAAGUCGUAACAAGGUAGCCGUACCGGAAGGUGCGGCUGGAAUACCUCCUUU
RNAcentral lists this ribosomal RNA (1518 nucleotides) under Pedobacter sp. BS3. RNAcentral describes it as "bacterial SSU rRNA". It matches the Rfam family "Bacterial small subunit ribosomal RNA". Lineage: Bacteria; Pseudomonadati; Bacteroidota; Sphingobacteriia; Sphingobacteriales; Sphingobacteriaceae. The record is from RNAcentral.